Molecule: long non-coding RNA, 219 nt
Filed under: Elaeis guineensis (African oil palm)
Lineage: Eukaryota; Viridiplantae; Streptophyta; Magnoliopsida; Arecales; Arecaceae
Description: long non-coding RNA (EGUI_LNC064479)
Source: RNAcentral
CUCUUCCAUAUCCAAAUUUGAAGAAAAAGGAUUGCGAAACAGGUUUGUGAUUUGAUCACAAUCUGAAUUUUAGCAUAUGAGAUAGAUCCAUGUGAUUUUAUAUUUUUAUGCAUGCAUAAUUUAGAUUAAAAGUAUUUUAAUUCUAUUCUCUACUAUGGUACUUAAAAAAUAAAAUUUUGAACACAUAUGCAUGCACCAGAUCCCAAAUUCCUACAGUGG